CGCUGGCGGCGUGCUUAACACAUGCAAGUCGAACGGAGUUCCUUGGAUAGAGGCUUCGGCCAAUUGAAAUGGAACUUAGUGGCGGACUGGUGAGUAACGCGUGAGGAACCUGCCUUUCAGAGGGGGGACAACAGUUGGAAACGACUGCUAAUACCGCAUAAUGUCAUUUGGGGGCAUCCCUGAAUGACCAAAGCUUUAUGUGCUGAAAGAUGGUCUCGCGUCUGAUUAGCUAGAUGGCGGGGUAACGGCCCACCAUGGCGACGAUCAGUAGCCGGUCUGAGAGGAUGAACGGCCACAUUGGGACUGAGAUACGGCCCAGACUCCUACGGGAGGCAGCAGUGGGGAAUAUUGGGCAAUGGGGGAAACCCUGACCCAGCAACGCCGCGUGAAGGAAGAAGGCCUUCGGGUUGUAAACUUCUUUUACCAGGGACGAAGAACGUGACGGUACCUGGAGAAAAAGCAACGGCUAACUACGUG
This 477-nucleotide ribosomal RNA is filed under the name uncultured bacterium. Its description in RNAcentral is "bacterial SSU rRNA". It matches the Rfam family "Bacterial small subunit ribosomal RNA", at positions 34 to 507 of the family's 1533-position model. The record is from RNAcentral.